CCGAGUUUACAACUCCCAAACCCCUGUGAACAUACCACUUGUUGCCUCGGCGGAUCAGCCCGCUCCCGGUAAAACGGGACGGCCCGCCAGAGGACCCCUAAACUCUGUUUCUAUAUGCAACUUCUGAGUAAAACCAUAAAUAAAUCA
RNAcentral lists this unclassified non-coding RNA (147 nucleotides) under soil metagenome. Its description in RNAcentral is "partial internal transcribed spacer 1". The record is from RNAcentral.